CCAUCAACUUCCCUUUCUUCUAGUAACACCGCACUCAACACCAAAUUGGAUGCUGCGAUGUACAAUAACAACUUUGCCUUUUCUCCUAGGCUUGCCAAAACUGCCAUGUUUUCUAGGUGCACUUUCAACUCAUCGAAUGCUUUCUGCUCUUGAGCCCCCCAAAAAAAUUUACUCUUCGCUACUAGUAACUUGAAGAAAGGCAAACUUCUUUCUACUGACCUCAAAAUGAAACGCCCCAGAGCUGCAAUUCUUCUUGUUAAUUUCUGGAUAUCUAUUUUUGUUCUUGGCUGCUUCAUUUUUCUGAUUGG
Molecule: long non-coding RNA, 308 nt
Filed under: Setaria viridis
Lineage: Eukaryota; Viridiplantae; Streptophyta; Magnoliopsida; Poales; Poaceae
Description: long non-coding RNA (SVIR_LNC004874)
Source: RNAcentral